RNAcentral lists this ribosomal RNA (527 nucleotides) under Scytalidium sp. JZ-78. RNAcentral's name for it is "eukaryotic LSU rRNA". The stretch from base 149 to 302 matches the Rfam family "5.8S ribosomal RNA". Lineage: Eukaryota; Fungi; Ascomycota; Leotiomycetes. The record is from RNAcentral. RNAcentral also lists the same sequence under 1 other name.
GUGGAAUUCCCUAGAAUUGCGGGCUUUGCCUGCUAUCUCUUACCCAUGUCUUUUGAGUACUUACGUUUCCUCGGUGGGUUCGCCCGCCGAUUGGACAAUUUAAACCCUUUGCAGUUGCAAUCAGCGUCUGAAAAAAAUUAAUAAUUACAACUUUCAACAACGGAUCUCUUGGUUCUGGCAUCGAUGAAGAACGCAGCGAAAUGCGAUAAGUAGUGUGAAUUGCAGAAUUCAGUGAAUCAUCGAAUCUUUGAACGCACAUUGCGCCCCUUGGUAUUCCAUGGGGCAUGCCUGUUCGAGCGUCAUUUGUACCUUCAAGCUUUGCUUGGUGUUGGGUGUUUGUCUCGCCUUUGCGUGUAGACUCGCCUCAAAACAAUUGGCAGCCGGCGUAUUGAUUUCGGAGCGCAGUACAUCUCGCGCUUUGCACUCAUAACGACGACGUCCAAAAGUACAUUUUUACACUCUUGACCUCGGAUCAGGUAGGGAUACCCGCUGAACUUAAGCAUAUCAAUAAGCGGAGGAAGGAUCAU